This 1509-nucleotide ribosomal RNA is filed under the name Acinetobacter baumannii. Its description in RNAcentral is "16S ribosomal RNA". It matches the Rfam family "Bacterial small subunit ribosomal RNA". Lineage: Bacteria; Pseudomonadati; Pseudomonadota; Gammaproteobacteria; Moraxellales; Moraxellaceae. The record is from RNAcentral.
UUAGAGUUUGAUCCUGGCUCAGAUUGAACGCUGGCGGCAGGCUUAACACAUGCAAGUCGAGCGGGGGAAGGUAGCUUGCUACCGGACCUAGCGGCGGACGGGUGAGUAAUGCUUAGGAAUCUGCCUAUUAGUGGGGGACAACAUCUCGAAAGGGAUGCUAAUACCGCAUACGUCCUACGGGAGAAAGCAGGGGAUCUUCGGACCUUGCGCUAAUAGAUGAGCCUAAGUCGGAUUAGCUAGUUGGUGGGGUAAAGGCCUACCAAGGCGACGAUCUGUAGCGGGUCUGAGAGGAUGAUCCGCCACACUGGGACUGAGACACGGCCCAGACUCCUACGGGAGGCAGCAGUGGGGAAUAUUGGACAAUGGGGGAACCCUGACCCAGCCAUGCCGCGUGUGUGAAGAAGGCCUUAUGGUUGUAAAGCACUUUAAGCGAGGAGGAGGCUACUUUAGUUAAUACCUAGAGAUAGUGGACGUUACUCGCAGAAUAAGCACCGGCUAACUCUGUGCCAGCAGCCGCGGUAAUACAGAGGGUGCGAGCGUUAAUCGGAUUUACUGGGCGUAAAGCGUGCGUAGGCGGCUUAUUAAGUCGGAUGUGAAAUCCCCGAGCUUAACUUGGGAAUUGCAUUCGAUACUGGUGAGCUAGAGUAUGGGAGAGGAUGGUAGAAUUCCAGGUGUAGCGGUGAAAUGCGUAGAGAUCUGGAGGAAUACCGAUGGCGAAGGCAGCCACCUGGACAAAGACUGACGCUCAGGUACGAAAGCAUGGGGAGCAAACAGGAUUAGAUACCCUGGUAGUCCACGCCGUAAACGAUGUCGACUUGGAGCCGUUGGGCCCUUUGAGGCUUUAGUGGCGUCCGGAGCUAACGCGAUAAGUAGACCGCCUGGGGAGUACGGCCGCAAGACUAAAACUCAAAUGAAUUGACGGGGGCCCGCACAAGCGGUGGAGCAUGUGGUUUAAUUCGAUGCAACGCGAAGAACCUUACCUACUCUUGACAUCCAGAGAACUUAGCAGAGAUGCUUCGGUGCCUUCGGGAACUCUGAGACAGGUGCUGCAUGGCUGUCGUCAGCUCGUGUUGUGAAAUGUUGGGUUAAGUCCCGCAACGAGCGCAACCCUUAUCCUUUGUUGCCAGCGGUUAGGCCGGGAACUCAAAGGAGACUGCCAGUGAUAAACUGGAGGAAGGUGGGGAUGACGUCAAGUCAUCAUGGCCCUUACGAGUAGGGCUACACACGUGCUACAAUGGCAUAUACAAAGAGAAGCGACCUCGCGAGAGCAAGCGGACCUCAUAAAGUAUGUCGUAGUCCGGAUUGGAGUCUGCAACUCGACUCCAUGAAGUCGGAAUCGCUAGUAAUCGUAGAUCAGAAUGCUACGGUGAAUACGUUCCCGGGCCUUGUACACACCGCCCGUCACACCAUGGGAGUGGGUUGCAAAAGAAGUAGGUAGCUUAACCUUCGGGAGGGCGCUUACCACUUUGUGAUUCAUGACUGGGGUGAAGUCGUAACAAGGUAACCGUA